Molecule: ribosomal RNA, 36 nt
Filed under: Pholiota multicingulata
Lineage: Eukaryota; Fungi; Basidiomycota; Agaricomycetes; Agaricales; Strophariaceae
Description: partial 28S ribosomal RNA
Source: RNAcentral
AUAGCACCGCUUCUAACCGUCUGUUAACUCGGACAA